This 355-nucleotide unclassified non-coding RNA is filed under the name Hevea brasiliensis (rubber tree). The record is from RNAcentral. Lineage: Eukaryota; Viridiplantae; Streptophyta; Magnoliopsida; Malpighiales; Euphorbiaceae.
AGGGCCUUCCAGACCAGAAUAAUCGUUGGCAGUGAAAUAAUUUCCUUUCUCAAUAACAACAACCUUCUGGCCGGAAGUUGCAAGGACAGCCGCAGCAACACCUCCACCACAGCCGGAGCCAACAAUGGCAACAUCACAAUUGAUUUUGUAGAGGUUGUGUCCUGAAUUCGUAACUUUGAGUCCUUUCUGGGCAAGGUUGUGGACAAGGGUUGAAUCAGUUUCAAGCAUAGUUUCUAUUAUCCCUGCCUGAAGAGGCUUCUCAUUUGGACCUUGGCUUGGAUUCUUAUCCUUGUCUGUCUCAUAGCCAAUUGCUUUCCAUGCUGGGUUCUCUCCAUCUUCGUCCGCCCGAGAGAAG